UGGGGGGUAGCUUAAUGGUAGAGCACUCACCUGGCAUGUGCAAGGCCCUGGGUUCCAAUCCCAGUACCACAA
Molecule: transfer RNA, 72 nt
Filed under: Ictidomys tridecemlineatus (thirteen-lined ground squirrel)
Lineage: Eukaryota; Metazoa; Chordata; Mammalia; Rodentia; Sciuridae
Description: Spermophilus tridecemlineatus (thirteen-lined ground squirrel) tRNA
Rfam family: tRNA
About the family: Transfer RNA (tRNA) molecules are approximately 80 nucleotides in length.
Source: Rfam by way of RNAcentral